This is a non-coding RNA of Podarcis lilfordi (Lilford's wall lizard), 74 nucleotides long. NCBI's taxonomy places the organism in Eukaryota, Metazoa, Chordata, Lepidosauria, Squamata, Lacertidae. The record is from the annotation of a GenBank genome assembly.
GAAGGACUAUAGCUCAGUGGCAGAGCGUCUGUUUUGCUUGCAGAAGGUCUCAGGUUCAAUCUCCGGCAUCUUCA